This is a long non-coding RNA of Culicoides brevitarsis, 511 nucleotides long. RefSeq lists it as uncharacterized. The record is from RefSeq and is a predicted model, not a curated record. The transcript is spliced from 2 exons. Lineage: Eukaryota; Metazoa; Arthropoda; Insecta; Diptera; Ceratopogonidae.
AUUCAUGGGGAAUUUCGAUGAUACAACGUCAAAAAGGUUAUCACGCGUAAUUCUCGGAAAGUACAAAUAAUGAACAAUUUUAAUUUUUUGAGAAUUUAACGAGAGAAUUUAAUCAAAAAGUCUCCGAGAUGUUCAUUACUCGAUUAUCAGAUCUCAUUUUCUUCUCAUGUUUCGGCAAACAUUAGCUCAAAUAACACAAAAAAAUGACAAAAAUUCAGUGUAAACCAAUCAGGCAUGCAGGUAAAUGCAAACAAUAAUAUCGUUAACAACGAGAAAUCAUCACCUUAAUAUCCGAUAAGUACCAUUGAUGGAAGUGUUAUUGUUUACAAUGAUUAUCUCGAUUAAGGACAAAAGUGAAGGAAAUUGAAUAAAGAUGACAUAAAAGGAGAGAUUUGAACAAAAGAUCUCGGAUUAUAUUGCUGCAUGUUUUUUUUUCAUGGGAAGAAAUGGAAUGGAAAUGAUGCGUUUUCUUGUAUUGUUGAGAGUCAUUGAUGGAAAGUUACAAAGGUAU